GGAGUCGGACGGAUCAGCGCUGCGAAUGCAAAUUCGGAGAGGAAAGUCCGGGCUCCACAGGGCAGAACGCUGGGUAACUCCCAGGGGGAGCGAUCCCCGGCAAGCGCAACAGAAAGCAGACCGCCGCGCCUGAGGAUAUUUCCCGGUUUGCGGUAAGGGUGAAACGGUGGGGUAAGAGCCCACCGGUUGUCGCGGCGACGCGGCAAGCCAGGCAUGCCCCGUUCGGAGCAAAACCAAAUAGGAGAGCGAUAGUCCGGCCCGGACUGCUCUCGGGUAGGUUGCUUGAGGGUGCGAGUAAUCGCAUCCCUAGAGGAAUGCUGAUCUCCCCCGCUUUGCGGGGUGACAGAACCCGGCUUAUAGUCCGACUCCCAUU
This 373-nucleotide RNase P RNA is filed under the name Deltaproteobacteria bacterium. RNAcentral's name for it is "RNase P RNA component class A". It matches the Rfam family "Bacterial RNase P class A". From Rfam's summary of the family: Ribonuclease P (RNase P) is a ubiquitous endoribonuclease, found in archaea, bacteria and eukarya as well as chloroplasts and mitochondria. Its best characterised activity is the generation of mature 5'-ends of tRNAs by cleaving the 5'-leader elements of precursor-tRNAs. Lineage: Bacteria; Pseudomonadati; Myxococcota; Myxococcia. The record is from RNAcentral.